Mus musculus (house mouse) is the source of this 2042-nucleotide long non-coding RNA. RefSeq annotates it as predicted gene, 53556. NCBI's taxonomy places the organism in Eukaryota, Metazoa, Chordata, Mammalia, Rodentia, Muridae. The transcript is spliced from 2 exons. The record is from RefSeq and is a predicted model, not a curated record.
CCUGGCUCUCUUCCUGCUCUCAAAAUCCUACCAUGACCCGAUGAAACCACUUGACCACUUAUCUUUUACUAAGCUUCUAGGGAAAACUCUACCAGCCCUAUGCCAGGACCUGGAAAAAGCUGAACACAUGGGCAUCUUCUGACUUUCCUGGGAGCCCAGGAGGAGCAUUUACUCCCAGCUGACAAGCCAGCUUCAGUCCUGCAGAGAGCUGUGUGCAGCCGGUAAGAACUCUGCCACUCAAGGUGUGAAAUGAACUGUCCUCAGACUGAUGGAAAGGCUGAACGUAAAGUCCAUGUUUAGGCUCCUGGGCCCCUGGUUGUUUUUGUUUUUUGUUUUUUUGUUUUUUUUUUUUUUGGUUUUGGUUUUUGUUUUUAAAUCAGGCUGGCUUUUGCCUGAGAGACCUGCAAGAAAGCUGGUGACUGUGGCUAUUUUUCUUGCUUCCCAGUCACCAGAGGUGACCCCUCACAGCUGGGCCCCAUCGGGAAGGGCCUGGACCGGGUGGGAGAACUUCAGCUGAGGUCCAGCCAGACCUCAGAAUGGGAGGAGGGAGGGCUUGUCUCUGCUGGGGAAGGGGCUGUGGUACCAGGCUGGCUCCGGUGGCUUCCAGCAGACCUGUGAAGAGCUGCCGCUGAAGGGGGGUGGGGAGGGGAGGCAGGGGACGGGCAGCAAGACAGCCCUGAAAGCAGAGGAAACAUCCUAAAGAAGAGAUAAACAGAGAACAGCGACAGACUUCUCACUUUGGCAAAAGGCGCUUUGGUCUCCCUGUGAAACUUCACCCCUCUUCUUCCCCAGCUUCCCAUUUACAAAAUUAGUCCAGGCCCUGAGAGAUGGCCCCUGCUUUAAAGUCCUACUCUAAAGGCCUAUUGGUCCUGCUUUGUCUUGGCACCCUGGGAUGGAGGUCCUGACUUAAAUCCCAGCUGAGCUGUUGGGAGUGAGCCAGCUGACCCACUCCAGCGUCUGGGCCUAGCCAGAUCCUUACUAUUUUUAUGAUCUGCUAACAUUUAUUUUAUGCUCAUCAUGCCAGAGACAUCUUGCCCACCCCUCACUUCCUGAACCUUGGUCCACAGUAGCCCUUGCAAGUGGCUACUCUUUGUUCUAUCCACGUUAUAGAUGAGGAUACGAAGUCACAGAGAGGUCCGAGAUCCUACUGACAGUAAGGAACAAACUUUGAACCCAAACUUUUCCUUGAAUAAGAAGCGGGAGGAGGGGUGACGGUCAGGAAGAAAGGGGGUGACGUUUAAGAGCAUGAGGCUGUCUGCCCUAGAGAGAAACAAUCAACUCAGGUUUUCCGAGCAAUGCUCCAUGAGGCUGCAUUUCUGUCUGGCACCUCCGUGGCCAGCUGUCCCAAGAGGACGUCAUCAGUAGUAUAGCGUGUCUGUGGGAGACUGGAUCAUUAUAAAGCACAUAGGCCAUCUCCUCUGGUGACCAGCUCACAUUUGUCACUCGGCUAAGAGACAGGAGAGAGUUUUCCAACCAAGUAUUUUGUAAGCUCAAUUUUACGGCUGAAAAAAAGGCAAGACAGCUCAGGGACGGUUCGUGUGGUCCAGUAGGGACCCCAGCUCUCUGCUUAUGGGUGUGUUUGAGGAGGUAUGGGUGAAAGCCCAUGGUUUGAGUUUUAGUUCUUAUUUUGUAGCUUGUGUGGCUUUGAACACGUUGCUUCUUGAAGCCUCAGUUUCCCUGUCUGCAGAGUGAUAAUAAUCACUGUAGCCGCUGGCUCCUGGGAUUGUGGUGCAGUAUCUGUCAGGCCGUAAAUGAUCAAUGAAUAGUAAUUACCAUCGGUAAAGGUUUAAAGAAGCAACUUAGGAAGAUAUGAGAUGGAGGCUGGUGGUUCCUCAGAAGGUCACCAACAUGCUCUGUGUGCACUGAGAAUUACAACAUUACAGGAGGAAAUGGGCAGAGUGAAGCUGGGCUUCCCUCCGUAGGAACAUUUCUGAUGAACUAAUAGGCCACAGAGAUGGAUCUUCAUGAGUUGCUAUAACCUGUAAGAGCUGUUGAAAGUGAUUGCUUAUCCAAGUCUGGGUGCUUAUACCCCACUGAAAAAA